Molecule: ribosomal RNA, 468 nt
Filed under: uncultured bacterium
Lineage: Bacteria
Description: partial 16S ribosomal RNA
Rfam family: Bacterial small subunit ribosomal RNA
Source: RNAcentral
GACGAACGCUGGCGGCGUGCUUAACACAUGCAAGUCGAACGGAAAGGCCCUGCUUUUGUGGGGUGCUCGAGUUGCGAACGGGUGAGUAACACUUGAGUAACCUGCCCUUGACUUUGGGAUAACUUCAUGAAACUUGGGCUAAUACCGGAUAGGAGCUCCUGCUGCAUGGUGGGGGUUGGAAAGUUUCGGCGGUUGGGGAUGGACUGGCGGCGUAUCAGCUUGUUGGUGGGGUAGUGGCUUACCAAGGCUUUGACGGGUAGCCGGCCUGAGAGGGUGACCGGACACAUUGGGACUGAGAUGAGGCACAGACUCGUACGGGAGGCAGCAGUGGGGAAUAUUGCACAAUGGGAGGAAGCCUGAUGCAGCCAAGCCGCGUGCGGGAUGACGGCCAUCGGGUUGUAAACCGCUUUCGCCUGUGACGAAGCGUGAGUGACGGUAAUAGGUAAAGAAGCACCGGCUAACUACGUG